UAGGGAAUCUUCCGCAAUGGGCGAAAGCCUGACGGAGCAACGCCGCGUGAGUGAAGAAGGAUUUCGGUUCGUAAAGCUCUGUUGUUAGGGAAGAAUGAUUGUGUAGUAACUAUACACAGUAGAGACGGUACCUAACCAGAAAGCCACGGCUAACUACGUGCCAGCAGCCGCGGUAAUACGUAGGUGGCAAGCGUUGUCCGGAAUUAUUGGGCGUAAAGCGCGCGUAGGUGGUUUAAUAAGUCUGAUGUGAAAGCCCACGGCUCAACCGUGGAGGGUCAUUGGAAACUGUUAAACUUGAGUGCAGGAGAGAAAAGUGGAAUUCCUAGUGUAGCGGUGAAAUGCGUAGAGAUUAGGAGGAACACCAGUGGCGAAGGCGGCUUUUUGGCCUGUAACUGACACUGAGGCGCGAAAGCGUGGGGAGCAAACGGGAUUAGAUACCCUGGUAGUCCACGCCGUAAACGAUGAGUGCUAAGUGUUGGUCUCAUAAGAGAUCAGUGCUGCAGCUAACGCAUUAAGCACUCCGCCUGGGGAGUACGACCGCAAGGUUG
Molecule: ribosomal RNA, 548 nt
Filed under: uncultured bacterium
Lineage: Bacteria
Description: bacterial SSU rRNA
Rfam family: Bacterial small subunit ribosomal RNA
Source: RNAcentral